CAGUCGCCGCGGGAAAACGGAGGGUGCAAGCGUUAUCCGGAUUUAUUGGGUUUAAAGGGUCCGUAGGCGGAUCUGUAAGUCAGUGGUGAAAUCUCACAGCUUAACUGUGAAACUGCCAUUGAUACUGCAGGUCUUGAGUAAAUUUGAAGUGGCUGGAAUAAGUAGUGUAGCGGUGAAAUGCAUAGAUAUUACUUAGAACACCAAUUGCGAAGGCAGGUCACUAAGAUUUAACUGACGCUGAUGGACGAAAGCGUGGGGAGCGAACAGGAUUAGAUACCCCGGUAGUCCCUGUCUCUUAUAC
This 301-nucleotide ribosomal RNA is filed under the name uncultured bacterium. Its description in RNAcentral is "partial 16S ribosomal RNA". It matches the Rfam family "Bacterial small subunit ribosomal RNA", at positions 509 to 807 of the family's 1533-position model. The record is from RNAcentral.